Molecule: small nucleolar RNA, 142 nt
Organism: Peromyscus maniculatus bairdii (prairie deer mouse)
Lineage: Eukaryota; Metazoa; Chordata; Mammalia; Rodentia; Cricetidae
Source: Ensembl
UUUGUCCUGGGUUUUUCAGCACCACAAGCACAGCGCAGCUGCUCAGCUGUGUCUGGGACAUCAGGGCCAAGAGCAAGUGGCUGGUUCUAUGCUCAGUGUUCAGAAGCCAGUGAGCACGAAGGAUGGCUGCAGCCUGACCUAG